UCGCGAAAACUCCGCAAUACGCGAAGGCGUGACGGGGCCAUCCCGAGUGCCGUCCGCUGAGGAUGGCUUUUCCCCAGUGUAGAUAGCUGGGGGAAUAAGGAGAGGGCAAGUCUGGUGUCAGCCGCCGCGGUAAUACCAGCUCUCCGAGUGGUGGGGACGUUUAUUGGGCUUAAAGCAUCCGUAGCCGGCUGGGCAAGUCCCCUGUUAAAUCUAACGAUUCAAUC
RNAcentral lists this ribosomal RNA (224 nucleotides) under uncultured Bathyarchaeota archaeon. Its description in RNAcentral is "partial 16S ribosomal RNA". It matches the Rfam family "Archaeal small subunit ribosomal RNA", at positions 339 to 564 of the family's 1478-position model. The record is from RNAcentral. Lineage: Archaea; Thermoproteati; Candidatus Bathyarchaeota.